RNAcentral lists this ribosomal RNA (822 nucleotides) under uncultured bacterium. Its description in RNAcentral is "bacterial SSU rRNA". It matches the Rfam family "Bacterial small subunit ribosomal RNA", at positions 56 to 873 of the family's 1533-position model. The record is from RNAcentral.
UGCAGUCGGACGACAGGCGAGGAAUCCGCAAGGAGGAAUCGUGCUGAGUGGCGAACGGGUGAGUAAGACAUGGGGACGUACCCUCAAGAGGGGGAUAGCAUUCCGAAAGGGAUGGUAAUACCCCGUAAGCUCGAGAGAGGGAAGGUGCAACAGCACCGCUUGAGGAGCGACUCAUGGCCCAUCAGUUAGUUGGUGAGGUAAAGGCCCACCAAGGCUAUGACGGGUAGCUGGUCUGAGAGGAUGGUCAGCCACACUGGGACUGAGACACGGCCCAGACUCCUACGGGAGGCAGCAGUGGGGAAUUUUUCCCAAUGGGCGAAAGCCUGAGGGAGCGACGCCGCGUGGAGGAAGGAGUCUUUCGAGAUGUAAACUCCUGUUGUAAGGGAGCAAGGGUAUAUGUAGUGGAAAGGCAUAUACUCGGAUAGUACCUUACGAGGAAGCCCCGGCUAACUACGUGCCAGCAGCCGCGGUAAUACGUAGGGGGCGAGCGUUGUCCGGAGUUACUGGGCGUAAAGGGUGCGUAGGUGGCCGAUAAAGUCAAUUGUGAAAUUCCACGGCUCAACUGUGGGAGUGCGGUUGAAACUAAUCGGCUUGAGGUCAGGUCAGGAAGAUGGAAUUGUCAGUGUAGGGGUGAAAUCCGUAGAUAUUGGCAAGAACGCCGGUGGUGAAGACGGUCUUCUGGGCUGAUACUGACACUGAGGCACGAAAGCUAGGGGAGCGAACGGGAUUAGAUACCCCGGUAGUCCUAGCCGUAAACGAUGUUCACUGAGUAUGGGAGGCGUUAGCCAUCCGUGCUGAAGCAAACGCGUUAAGUGAACCGCC